This 528-nucleotide ribosomal RNA is filed under the name uncultured bacterium. RNAcentral's name for it is "bacterial SSU rRNA". It matches the Rfam family "Bacterial small subunit ribosomal RNA", at positions 19 to 518 of the family's 1533-position model. The record is from RNAcentral.
CUGGCUCAGGACGAACGCUGGCGGCGUGCCUAAUACAUGCAAGUCGAACGGUCUUUCUAUGGAAGCUUGCUUCCACUGAGAAGAUAGUGGCGAACGGGUGAGUAACACGUGGGUAACCUGCCCAUAAGAGGGGGGAUAACAUCCGGAAACGGGUGCUAAUACCGCAUAGUUUUCUUGGUCGCAUGAUCGGGAAAGGAAAGACGGCCUUUGUGCUGUCGCUUAUGGAUGGACCCGCGGCGUAUUAGUUAGUUGGUGAGGUAACGGCUCACCAAGACGAUGAUACGUAGCCGACCUGAGAGGGUGAUCGGCCACAUUGGGACUGAGACACGGCCCAAACUCCUACGGGAGGCAGCAGUAGGGAAUCUUCCGCAAUGGACGAAAGUCUGACGGAGCAACGCCGCGUGAGUGAAGAAGGUUUUUUCGGAUCGUAAAACUCUGUUGUCAGAGAAGAACAAGUUGGAGAGUAACUGCUCCAGCCUUGACGGUAUCUGACCAGAAAGCCACGGCUAACUACGUGCCAGCAGCAGC